This 460-nucleotide ribosomal RNA is filed under the name uncultured bacterium. RNAcentral's name for it is "partial 16S ribosomal RNA". It matches the Rfam family "Bacterial small subunit ribosomal RNA", at positions 338 to 795 of the family's 1533-position model. The record is from RNAcentral.
CCUACGGGGGGCAGCAGUGAGGAAUAUUGGUCAAUGGGCGAGAGCCUGAACCAGCCAAGUAGCGUGAAGGAUGACGGCCCUAUGGGUUGUAAACUUCUUUUAUAUGGGAAUAAAAUGUGCCACGUGUGGGAUUUUGUAUGUACCUUAUGAAUAAGGAUCGGCUAACUCCGUGCCAGCAGCCGCGGUAAUACGGAGGAUCCGAGCGUUAUCCGGAUUUAUUGGGUUUAAAGGGUGCGUAGGUGGCUUGUUAAGUCAGUGGUGAAAGUUUGCGGCGCAACCGUAAAAUUGCCGUUGAAACUGGGAGUCUUGAGUAUAGUAGAGGCAGGCGGAAUUCGUGGUGUAGCGGUGAAAUGCUUAGAUAUCACGAAGAACUCCGAUUGCGAAGGCAGCUCACUGGACUGCAACUGACACUGAGGCUCGAAAGUGUGGGUAUCAAACAGGAUUAGAUACCCGGGUAGUC